RNAcentral lists this ribosomal RNA (243 nucleotides) under uncultured bacterium. RNAcentral's name for it is "partial 16S ribosomal RNA". It matches the Rfam family "Bacterial small subunit ribosomal RNA", at positions 524 to 762 of the family's 1533-position model. The record is from RNAcentral.
GACAGAGGGUGCAAACGUUGUUCGGAAUUACUGGGCGUAAAGCGCGUGUAGGCGGCCAACUAAGUCGGACGUGAAAUCCCCACGGCUCAACCCCGGAACUGCCUUUGAUACUGGGUAUCUCGAGUCCGGAAGAGGUGAGUGGAAUUCCGAGUGUAGAGGUGAAAUUCGUAGAUAUUCGGAGGAACACCAGUGGCGAAGGCGGCUCACUGGUCCGGUACUGACGCUGAGGGUGGCGAAAAGCGU